RNAcentral lists this ribosomal RNA (468 nucleotides) under uncultured bacterium. RNAcentral's name for it is "partial 16S ribosomal RNA". It matches the Rfam family "Bacterial small subunit ribosomal RNA", at positions 28 to 507 of the family's 1533-position model. The record is from RNAcentral.
GACGAACGCUGGCGGCGUGCUUAACACAUGCAAGUCGAACGGAAAGGCCCUGCUUUUGCGGGGCGCUCGAGUGGCGAACGGGUGAGUAACACGUGAGUAACCUGCCCUUGACUUUGGGAUAACUUCAGGAAACUGGGGCUCAUACCGGAUAGGAGCUCCUGCUGCAUGGUGGGGGUUGGAAAGUUUCGGCGGUUGGGGAUGGACUCGAGGCUUAUCAGCUUGAUGGUGGGGUAGUGACUUACCAAGGCUUUGACGGGUAGCCGGCCUGAGAGGGUGACCAGCCACAUUAGGACUGAGAUACGGCCCAGACUCCUACGGGAGGCAGCAGUGGGGAAUAUUGCGCAAUGGGCGGAAGCCUGAUGCAGCGACGCCGCGUGCGGGAUGACGGCCUUCGGGUGGUAAACCGCUUUCGCCUGUGACGAAGCGUGAGUGACGGUAAUGGGUAAAGAAGCACCGGCUAACUACGUG